CAGCAGCCGCGGUAAUACGUAGGGUGCGAGCGUUAAUCGGAAUUACUGGGCGUAAAGCGUGCGCAGGCGGUUCGUUAAGACAGAUGUGAAAUCCCCGGGCUUAACCUGGGAACUGCAUUUGUGACUGGCGAGCUAGAGUAUGGCAGAGGGGGUAGAAUUCCACGUGUAGCAGUGAAAUGCGUAGAGAUGUGGAGGAAUACCGAUGGCGAAGGCAGCCCCCUGGGCCAAUACUGACGCUCAUGCACGAAAGCGUGGGGAGCAAACAGGAUUAGAGACCCGCGUAGUCCCUGUCUCUUAUACA
This 301-nucleotide ribosomal RNA is filed under the name uncultured bacterium. RNAcentral describes it as "partial 16S ribosomal RNA". It matches the Rfam family "Bacterial small subunit ribosomal RNA", at positions 509 to 808 of the family's 1533-position model. The record is from RNAcentral.